Molecule: microRNA precursor, 64 nt
Organism: Xenopus tropicalis (tropical clawed frog)
Lineage: Eukaryota; Metazoa; Chordata; Amphibia; Anura; Pipidae
Source: Ensembl
CUCUCUCCCAACCCUUGUACCAGAGUGAUAAUGGGAACUCUGGUACAGAGGAUGGCUGAAAGGA